RNAcentral lists this ribosomal RNA (100 nucleotides) under Olea europaea subsp. europaea. Lineage: Eukaryota; Viridiplantae; Streptophyta; Magnoliopsida; Lamiales; Oleaceae. The record is from RNAcentral.
AUCUGCCACGUUGAAUACACCAGUUCUCGUCCGAUUACUGAAGUUAAGAAACGUUGGGUGUGGCCAGUACAUGGAUAACCGCCUGGGAGAUCACGUGAUC